GUGGAUUAGAUACCCUGGUAGUCCACGCCGUAAACUAUGGAUGCUAGCCGUCGGCAAGCUUGCUUGUCGGUGGCGCAGCUAACGCAUUAAGCAUCCCGCCUGGGGAGUACGGCCGCAAGGUUAAAACUCAAAGGAAUUGACGGGGGCCCGCACAAGCGGUGGAGCAUGUGGUUUAAUUCGACGCAACGCGAAGAACCUUACCAGCUCUUGACAUGUCCGGUCGGUUUCCAGAGAUGGAUUCCUCCUAGCAAUAGGUCGGAACACAGGUGCUGCAUGGCUGUCGACAACU
RNAcentral lists this ribosomal RNA (289 nucleotides) under uncultured bacterium. RNAcentral's name for it is "partial 16S ribosomal RNA". It matches the Rfam family "Bacterial small subunit ribosomal RNA", at positions 773 to 1060 of the family's 1533-position model. The record is from RNAcentral.